This 440-nucleotide ribosomal RNA is filed under the name uncultured bacterium. RNAcentral describes it as "partial 16S ribosomal RNA". It matches the Rfam family "Bacterial small subunit ribosomal RNA", at positions 338 to 795 of the family's 1533-position model. The record is from RNAcentral.
CCUACGGGAGGCAGCAGUAGGGAAUAUUGCUCAAUGGGGGAAACCCUGAAGCAGCAACGCCGCGUGGAGGAUGAAGGUUUUCGGAUUGUAAACUCCUUUUGUUAGAGAAGAUAAUGACGGUACCUGACGAAUAAGCCACGGCUAACUACGUGCCAGCAGCCGCGGUAAUACGUAGGUGGCAAGCGUUGUCCGGAUUUACUGGGUGUAAAGGGCGUGUAGCCGGGUUGACAAGUCAGAUGUGAAAUCCUGCGGCUUAACCGCAGAACUGCAUUUGAAACUGUUGAUCUUGAGUACUGGAGAGGCAGACGGAAUUCCUAGUGUAGCGGUGAAAUGCGUAGAUAUUAGGAGGAACACCAGUGGCGAAGGCGGUCUGCUGGACAGCAACUGACGGUGAGGCGCGAAAGCGUGGGGAGCAAACAGGAUUAGAUACCCGAGUAGUC